Molecule: unclassified non-coding RNA, 348 nt
Filed under: soil metagenome
Description: partial contains 5.8S ribosomal RNA, internal transcribed spacer 2, and large subunit ribosomal RNA
Rfam family: 5.8S ribosomal RNA (bases 1-120)
Source: RNAcentral
GAUGAAGAACGCAGCGAAAUGCGAUAAGUAAUGUGAAUUGCAGAAUUCAGUGAAUCAUCGAGUCUUUGAACGCACAUUGCGCCCCCUGGUAUUCCGGGGGGCAUGCCUGUCCGAGCGUCAUUGCCGCCCUCAAGCACGGCUUGUGUGUUGGGCCCCCGCCCCCCGGCUUCGGGGGGCGGGCCCGAAAGGCAGCGGCGGCACCGCGUCCGGUCCUCGAGCGUAUGGGGCUUCGUCACCCGCUCUGUAGGCCCGGCCGGCGCCCGCCGGCGACCCCAAUCAAUCUUUCCAGGUUGACCUCGGAUCAGGUAGGGAUACCCGCUGAGCUUAAGCAUAUCAAUAAGCGGAGGA